GACGAACGCUGGCGGCGUGCUUAACACAUGCAAGUCGAACGAACAGACCCUGCUUUUGUUGGGUGCUCGAGUGGCGAAGGGGUGAGUGACACGUGAGUAACCUGCCCUUGACUGAGGGGUAACAUCAGGGAACUGGGGCGCAUACAGGGUAUGAGCUCCUGCUGCAUAGGGGUGGAUGGAGAAUGUCGGCGGUUGGGGCUGUAAUCGCGGGAUAUUCGCCGGAUGGGGGGGUAGUGGCUUACCACGGCUUUGACGGGUAGCCGGCCUGAGAGGGUGACCGGCCACAUUGGGACUGAGAUACGGCCCAGCCUGCUACCGGAGGCAGAAGUGGGGAACAUUGCACAAUGGGCGGAAGCCUGAUGCAGCAACGCCGCGUGCGGGAUGCCGGCCUUCGGGUGGUAAACCGCUGUCGCCUGUGACGAAGCGUGAGUGACGGUAAUGGGUAAAGAAGCACCGGCUAACUACGUG
RNAcentral lists this ribosomal RNA (468 nucleotides) under uncultured bacterium. RNAcentral describes it as "partial 16S ribosomal RNA". It matches the Rfam family "Bacterial small subunit ribosomal RNA", at positions 28 to 507 of the family's 1533-position model. The record is from RNAcentral.